This 583-nucleotide ribosomal RNA is filed under the name uncultured bacterium. RNAcentral describes it as "bacterial SSU rRNA". It matches the Rfam family "Bacterial small subunit ribosomal RNA", at positions 844 to 1428 of the family's 1533-position model. The record is from RNAcentral.
UGUCGUAGCCAACGCGUUAAGUGUUCCGCCUGGGGAGUACGCACGCAAGUGUGAAACUCAAAGGAAUUGACGGGGGCCCGCACAAGCGGUGGAGUAUGUGGUUUAAUUCGAUGCAACGCGAAGAACCUUACCAGGGCUUGACAUCCUGCGAACCUCUGGGAAACCGGAGGGUGCCUUCGGGAGCGCAGAGACAGGUGGUGCAUGGCCGUCGUCAGCUCGUGUCGUGAGAUGUUGGGUUAAGUCCCGCAACGAGCGCAACCCACGUCUUUAGUUGCCAGCAUUAAGUUGGGCACUCUAGAGAGACCGCCGGUGACAAACCGGAGGAAGGUGUGGAUGACGUCAAGUCAUCAUGCCCCUUACGUCCUGGGCUACACACGUACUACAAUGCUACGGACAAAGAGCAGCAAACUCGCGAGGGUAAGCAAAUCUCAUAAACCGUGGCUCAGUUCAGAUCGUAGGCUGCAACUCGCCUACGUGAAGGAGGAAUCGCUAGUAAUCGCAGGUCAGCAUACUGCGGUGAAUACGUUCCCGGGCCUUGUACACACCGCCCGUCACACCAUGGAAGUUGGCCAUGCCCGAAGUC